CUUUGAACAAUGGUCUGCGAGAUGUGACCGUUUGAUUAAAUAUGACUUGAAUGACAUUGCCAUUAUAAAGUUAACAGACUGGACAUCCGAUGUAAUUGAACCUGCAGCACUGUGUACUUUAAAAGUUCAUGAACUGUAUGGGGUAGAAACAGUUUUGGCAGGCUGGGGUGUAUUAAGUAAUAAUUCAGUAUCUUCGAUUGCACAUACAGCUAAAGCAAGGAUUUUAUCGAAAAGUGAUUGUGAAGAAAGAGUCAGUACGCUUCUCACUUAUGGCGUUUAUAUUGAGAAGGUACUCCUGUGCACCAUUGCGGAACCACACGUAUUGUUGAACUUUGGUGACAGUGGUGGUCCUCUUAUAUAUAAUAAUCAAAUUAUAGGCAUUAAUAAAGGUGUGUGUUCUGAUACGCUCCAGUACAAUAAUUCAAAUCAAAUAAACAUACAUUUUCAUA
This is a long non-coding RNA of Ceratosolen solmsi marchali, 449 nucleotides long. RefSeq lists it as uncharacterized. NCBI's taxonomy places the organism in Eukaryota, Metazoa, Arthropoda, Insecta, Hymenoptera, Agaonidae. The record is from RefSeq and is a predicted model, not a curated record. The transcript has 3 exons.